UGCCAUCCGUCGUCGAUGAUCACGAACUUCGGUGGGGUCCCGCCGGCAGCUAAAGACUCGAUCCCAGCUUCGACCCCUUCUUGAGUAACGUCCUGGUAAAAAGCGUCCCAGGUGCACCACCCGAAAUAGUCAACAAUCCCAGGUAAUUUUUUCUCGUGACGUUGCCGGAACGUUUUGAGAUGUAAUUUGACGGCCCUGAUUGCUUCGGUGAUUGUAGUGAAAGGGUCUGUGCCUGCGUGGAUAUAAACGGAAUGCGUAAACGACGACGCUUUGGUGUCGGCGUCGCCGCUCUCUAAACACAGCUCGAGCUGGUCGUUUUGGUUGCCUUGUAGGACGGCUCGAAAGGGGCCUUCAAUCAAAGGGAGGAA
This 368-nucleotide long non-coding RNA is filed under the name Gossypium barbadense (sea-island cotton). RNAcentral describes it as "long non-coding RNA (GBAR_LNC018461)". The record is from RNAcentral. Lineage: Eukaryota; Viridiplantae; Streptophyta; Magnoliopsida; Malvales; Malvaceae.